GGCGAAAGGGUUAUCCCACCCCCGGCUUCGUAGGAUUCAUCCCGCCCUUCAUACACGGUGCACGGUAUAUGAACUCUAUGUAACGCGAGCGCAAGGCUUAGGCCCUGUUGCAAAGAGUUGGUGAGAUUGUGCCCCUGGUUGGGAAGGAGGGGUGAAACUGCCAUACCGAGAGACCACCGCCAACUAUUGCAACAUGUUGAGGAACCUCCAUAUCUGCCAUGGCGGAUGGCUGGAUUAUUUGAUAGUAGGAAAAUUUUAAGCGGGGUUCGGUUUUUAUUUGUUUGUUUGUUUACUUUUAUUGUGACCCUGUUUCAAAUGCUUCCCUGAUUGAACUUCCUUUGUGGGGGAGACAACUUGUCUGAUAGACCAUGGUUUGGGGACUAUAUCCCUUUAAAUGCUUACGCGGCGU
Molecule: small RNA, 409 nt
Filed under: Histoplasma capsulatum
Lineage: Eukaryota; Fungi; Ascomycota; Eurotiomycetes; Onygenales; Ajellomycetaceae
Also listed under: 1 other name
Description: hypothetical RNA
Source: RNAcentral